Molecule: ribosomal RNA, 611 nt
Filed under: uncultured candidate division WS1 bacterium
Lineage: Bacteria; Bacillati
Description: bacterial SSU rRNA
Rfam family: Bacterial small subunit ribosomal RNA
Source: RNAcentral
CUCCGAACUGCCAGGCUUGAGUGCGGGAGAGGAUAGUGGAAUUCCUGGUGUAGCGGUGGAAUGCGUAAAUAUCAGGAGGAACACCUGUGGCGAAGGCUGCUAUCUGGAACGCAACUGACGCUAAGGCGCGAAAGCUAGGGGAGCAAACGGGAUUAGAUACCCCGGUAGUCCUAGCCGUAAACGAUGGACACUAGGUGUUGGAGGCAUCGACCCCUUCAGUGCUGUUCUGUUAACGCGUUAAGUGUCCCGCCUGGGGAGUACGGUCGCAAGGCUAAAACUCAAAGGAAUUGACGGGGGCCCGCACAAGCGGUGGAGCAUGUUGGUUAAUUGGAGGAUACGCCAAGAACCUUACCAGGGCUUGACAUGUUUCUGAUCGCCUGGGAAACCAGGUUUUCCACUUCGGUGGACAGAAUCACAGGUGGUGCAUGGUUGUCGACAGCUCGUGUCGUGAGAUGUUGGGUUAAGUCCCGCAACGAGCGCAACCCUCACCGAAUGUUGCCAGCGGAUAAUGCCGGGGACUCUUUCGGGACUGCCUGAGCAAUCAGGAGGAAGGGGGGGACGACGUCAAAUCGGCAUGCCCCUUAUGUCCUGGGCUGCAAACGUGCUACAAU